Molecule: ribosomal RNA, 326 nt
Filed under: uncultured bacterium
Lineage: Bacteria
Description: bacterial SSU rRNA
Rfam family: Bacterial small subunit ribosomal RNA
Source: RNAcentral
AUUGAACGCUGGCGGCAUGCCUUACACAUGCAAGUCGAACGCGAAAGCGGGGCAACCCGCAAGUAGAGUGGCGAACGGGUGAGUAAUACAUCGGAACGUGUCCAGUAGCGGGGGAGUAACCUACUCGAAAGAGAGGCUAAUACCGCAUACGACCUACGGUGGAAAGAGGGGAGUCGCAAGACCUCUCACUAUUGGAGCGGCCGUUGUCGGAUUAGCUAGUUGGCGGGGUAAAAGGACCCACCAAGGCGACGAUCCGUAGCUGGUCUGAGAGGACGACCAGCCACACUGGAACUGAGACACGGUCCAGACUCCUACGGGAGGCAGCA